UCCCUCCACCACCGCCUCUGCUGCUUGCAAGAGCAGGCAUAGGAGCCCGGUUGGGGGAGGCACAGUGCAGCGCAGUGCCUCUCCCAGCCGCAGCUCCUGUGCCUGCCCUUGUGAGAGGCGGGCAGCGGUGGAGGGA
Non-coding RNA from Podarcis lilfordi (Lilford's wall lizard), 136 nucleotides. NCBI's taxonomy places the organism in Eukaryota, Metazoa, Chordata, Lepidosauria, Squamata, Lacertidae. The record is from the annotation of a GenBank genome assembly.